RNAcentral lists this small RNA (76 nucleotides) under Xanthomonas bromi. RNAcentral's name for it is "sX9 sRNA". It matches the Rfam family "Xanthomonas sRNA sX9". The record is from RNAcentral. Lineage: Bacteria; Pseudomonadati; Pseudomonadota; Gammaproteobacteria; Lysobacterales; Lysobacteraceae.
GUGUGCCACUUGCACACUCCGGAUCCUAUGCGCCAACCGCACGAACCUGACGACCGCGCGCGACGUUUUGUUAGCC